This 493-nucleotide ribosomal RNA is filed under the name uncultured bacterium. Its description in RNAcentral is "partial 16S ribosomal RNA". It matches the Rfam family "Bacterial small subunit ribosomal RNA", at positions 29 to 523 of the family's 1533-position model. The record is from RNAcentral.
AUUGAACGCUGGCGGCAUGCUUUACACAUGCAAGUCGAACGGUAACAGGUUAAGCUGACGAGUGGCGAACGGGUGAGUGAUGCAUCGGAACGUGCCCGGUCGUGGGGGAUAACGCAGCGAAAGCUGCGCUAAUACCGCAUACGAUCUGAGGAUGGAAGCGGGGGACCGUAAGGCCUCGCGCGAUCGGAGCGGCCGAUGUCAGAUUAGGUAGUUGGUGGGGUAAAGGCCCACCAAGCCGACGAUCUGUAGCUGGUCUGAGAGGACGACCAGCCACACUGGGACUGAGACACGGCCCAGACUCCUACGGGAGGCAGCAGUGGGGAAUUUUGGACAAUGGGCGAAAGCCUGAUCCAGCAAUGCCGCGUGCAGGAAGAAGGCCUUCGGGUUGUAAACUGCUUUUGUACGGAGCGAAAAGGUCCUUUCUAAUACAAGGGGCUCAUGACGGUACCGUAAGAAUAAGCACCGGCUAACUACGUGCCAGCAGCCGCAGUAA